UACGAAGGGCCCGAGCGGUAUUCGGAAUUAUUGGGCUUAAAGGGUGCGUAGGCGGUGCUGUAAGUCGGGUGUGAAAUCCCACGGCUCAACCGUGGAACUGCGCCCGAUACUGCAGUGCUAGAGGGAGACAGAGGUAAGCGGAACUGAUGGUGGAGCGGUGAAAUGCGUUGAUAUCAUCAGGAACACCAGUGGCGAAAGCGGCUUACUGGGUCUCUUCUGACGCUGAGGCACGAAAGCUAGGGUAGCGAACGGG
This 253-nucleotide unclassified non-coding RNA is filed under the name uncultured Pirellulaceae bacterium. RNAcentral describes it as "contains 16S-23S intergenic spacer region". It matches the Rfam family "Bacterial small subunit ribosomal RNA", at positions 524 to 776 of the family's 1533-position model. The record is from RNAcentral. Lineage: Bacteria; Pseudomonadati; Planctomycetota; Planctomycetia; Pirellulales; Pirellulaceae.